UCCCGCACCGCCGCCGGGUCGUCGUUGUGACGUCCCGCGCCGCCCCUCUGCACCGCCGCUGGAUCGUACUUGUGGUGUCCCGCGGCGCCGCUUGCCCGUCGAGAUUCCGCAACGUCCCGCGUCGGCACCACCACCAGACCGAUUGCUAGGGAAGUUGUCAUCCCGUCGCCGGUCUUCAUCGCCCGCUCAGAUCAAGGUUGGAUUAUUCAAGUACCGAAUUUGUAUUAUUCAGGUAGCAAAAAACUGAGCAAUUCAUUACCUAUCGUCUUGUGGACACCGUCACCUGUGUUCUCUGUGCACCGUGAGUUUUGUACGCGCUUUGCACCAUUUUUAUGUUGUUGCAAUCUCACGAUCCAAUGUUGCUUUGCGCACAUAGGAAUUUCUAUAACGUUUGAAAGCAUAUGGAUCCUCUAAAGAACACUAAAGGUAGUAUUCUUUGGACUCAAUUGGCAACAUUGCUGAGAUCGCUUCACGGUUUCUUUUCUCACCAAUGUUGAGGAUCCAUGAUAUAGAGUCGGGUAUUAUUGAAGAUGCCCGUCGUCUUAGAAGAGAACGAGGCAGAGUUCGUGCUGCCUUGAUGACAGAUGAGCAACGUGAAGAGAUAAAUAUGAAGCGGCGUGAGGCAUAUAAGAUGAAGAAGUGUCACGCACAGAACAAGGAAAAUGAUCCAGGUUUGAACCUGUUUGGGUUAACGAUCGAAGUGUUUGUGCCCAUCUUAUAUUGUGCGAGCUUAUAUUAUUAGUUAUUGAUUCAUCUGAUGUGGCUUUAAUCUCUCAAAGGUGCUGAUCUCUCAAGUGUGGAAACUGUAGCCUACUAUGGGAAGUCGACAAGAUAAUAUAGAAAGGAAAGUAAUUAAUUUUCGACCAUUGGUUAGCAUAUUGUUCCAUUUUAGUGUGUCAACUAUAAACAUAUUAUUUGGGUCAAUAGGGAUGAAAGAUUAGUUGAGAAAAUAUGGGCUCCCGAGCCACCAGAACCUAUUGCUCAGCAUGACAUGAAAGCAUGCAGUUCCCUUAUGUGGUAACCCUAGAUCAUGAAUUUCUACCUUAGGUUAUUCUUGACUAUUUUAUUUUCUGAAACAAAACAACACCCUUUCACUGAUGAGCCAAUCAUGCUUGCACACUGAAGCUUCUCUGUAGUAUCAAGUAAGUGCACAACUGCACACUGAAGCUGCCAUUACAUAGUGGCAUAAUGAUUGAGUUUCUCUCUAGCUUCCAGUGGUUCUUUCAUUGUAUUAAGUGAACACUGAAGUUUCCUUUACGGAUGAUGUCUCCUCUGUAUUAAGUAAGUGAGGUUGCUUUUUCACCUUUUGCUCCCCUUUGUUUUUUUUAGCAUGGCUUUAUAUUCUUCUUUUAUAGUAAGUCAGGUUCACAACAAUCUGUGCAUUGUUCACGAUUAUUUUUUAUUGGGGUAUGCUGUAUUACCUCAAGUGGAUCUCUAAAUUUAAUUUUCUAGAAGUUGUGUCAAUGAAGAGGGUCUCACUGAAUAUCUCCAACGGCUCUCUGAUUUUUUUUAUUUUCUGCAUUUGUAGGUUUAUGCUCUUUGUUACAUGAUUAAUGGCGCUUGUACUAUUGAAAUCACAGUAUUAGUCUCCAAAUAAGCUUGGCCAAGGCUGCACGAUCCCGUACCCUGGAAAGGUUUGUGACCCUCCCUUCCUCCUUCCCUCAUGUUCGCUUCAGGAAUCUUGUAGCCAGCUCCAGCACAGCCAAACAUAAACUUAGCCACUGAUCUCAAGAGGUAGCCCAACUUAAUUCAUGAAAAGGAAGUAACUCCUAUUACCAAUUUCAAGCUGUUUAUAAUUUGUAGUUAAAAAAUAAGGAUAUUUGAGUAUGAUGGUUGAUGUAAAGCUAUGGCUAACUUUUUCUUGGGAAAAGUUUGCUAUGCUCCAGGUGUUGAAGUUGCAUUUGUAUUCAGAAUUACUGAUGAAGAAUGAGUACUAACAUAUCAUUGCAAUGGUUUAGAAGUAUCUUUGCUGAUGGGAUGAUUGGGGGUUUUUUAUUCUUCUUCUUUUCUCUCUUUUUGAUUGUAUCUUUUCUGGACGAGAAGAUAUUGAGUGUUUUUGUUUCUCUAGGGAUUGCAUGAAUGAUUGGAGUUGCCAUUUGCUCUCCUGGAAUGUCGUAAAACCAUUACUAUUUUCAUCACUAAAGUAGUUUCUGAAGUUGUUAAUGAUCGUCUUGGUCUGGUAUAUGGUUAGUUGUGAUAUAGUGAGACUGCUAUUUUUUUAUAAUCACAGUGAAGAAAUAUCCGUCACUUUGAGCUA
Panicum virgatum (switchgrass) is the source of this 2257-nucleotide long non-coding RNA. RefSeq lists it as uncharacterized. The record is from RefSeq and is a predicted model, not a curated record. Lineage: Eukaryota; Viridiplantae; Streptophyta; Magnoliopsida; Poales; Poaceae. The transcript is spliced from 2 exons.